GCAGUCCCAGGAAGGGAUAUGAACCAGACCGAAUGAAGAAUAUCUUAUUUCAUCUGCACAGAACAAAAGAGUGUCUUUCCUUUCCCAGUGCCUGUGCAAGAUUGAAGACUUGAAUGAAAACACACUGGCUGGGCCUAGACCCGAGAACGGAUACACAGUCAGCCGGGCAAAGGGGUUCACCGAGGAGAUCUGCUGCUCAGAUAAGACUAAAACUUCCACAACAUGGUUUAAAAAGAGAAACUGGCAUCUGAAGAAUCUUCUUUUUCUUAAAAAAGGACUGUUCAACCUGAUCAGGCAGCCCCAUGUUCAGAAAUAUUUACAAGACUGUGUAAUGAUCCGUCUCACUAAGUCUUUUCCCAGGUUCAGGAAUUAGGUACAGCCCUUUUCCGAGAAAACAGACCUGCCCCCAGCUCUCUCUGCUUCAGGCAGAUCUAGCAGCUCCCUUUCCCCCUUGCACAGGUAACUCCGUGCCA
Molecule: long non-coding RNA, 473 nt
Organism: Choloepus didactylus (southern two-toed sloth)
Lineage: Eukaryota; Metazoa; Chordata; Mammalia; Pilosa; Megalonychidae
Exons: 3
Source: RefSeq, a predicted model, not a curated record